This 253-nucleotide ribosomal RNA is filed under the name uncultured bacterium. Its description in RNAcentral is "partial 16S ribosomal RNA". It matches the Rfam family "Bacterial small subunit ribosomal RNA", at positions 524 to 776 of the family's 1533-position model. The record is from RNAcentral. RNAcentral also lists the same sequence under 1 other name.
UACGGAGGAUCCAAGCGUUAUCCGGAAUCAUUGGGUUUAAAGGGUCCGUAGGCGGUUUGGUAAGUCAGUGGUGAAAGCCCAUCGCUCAACGGUGGAACGGCCAUUGAUACUGCCAGACUUGAAUUAUUAGGAAGUAACUAGAAUAUGUAGUGUAGCGGUGAAAUGCUUAGAGAUUACAUGGAAUACCAAUUGCGAAGGCAGGUUACUACUAAUUGAUUGACGCUGAUGGACGAAAGCGUGGGUAGCGAACAGG